UGGGUUUAAAACGUCGUGAGACAGUUUGGUCCUUAUCUGUUGCGGGCGCAGGAUAUUUGAGGAGAUCUUUCCCUAGUACGAGAGGACCGGGAUGGACGAACCUAUGGUGUACCAGUUGUUCCGCCAGGAGCAUCGCUGGGUAGCUAUGUUCGGCAGGGAUAACCGCUGAAAGCAUCUAAGCGGGAAGCCUACUUCAAGAUAAGAUAUCCCAUGGCGUAAAGUCAUCUGAAGGCUCGUGGUAGACCACCACGUCGAUAGGUCGGGUGUGGAAGUGCAGUAAUGCAUGCAGCUUACCGAUACUAAUCAGCCGUGCGGCUUAUCCAUAUU
RNAcentral lists this ribosomal RNA (327 nucleotides) under Desulfobulbaceae bacterium BRH_c16a. Its description in RNAcentral is "bacterial LSU rRNA". It matches the Rfam family "Bacterial large subunit ribosomal RNA", at positions 2606 to 2925 of the family's 2925-position model. The record is from RNAcentral. Lineage: Bacteria; Pseudomonadati; Thermodesulfobacteriota; Desulfobulbia; Desulfobulbales; Desulfobulbaceae.